UACGAAGGGGGCUAGCGUUGCUCGGAAUUACUGGGCGUAAAGCGCACGUAGGCGGCUUGUUAAGUCAGGGGUGAAAUCCUGGAGCUCAACUCCAGAACUGCCUUUGAUACUGGCGAGCUUGAGUUCGGGAGAGGUGAGUGGAACUGCGAGUGUAGAGGUGAAAUUCGUAGAUAUUCGCAAGAACACCAGUGGCGAAGGCGGCUCACUGGCCCGAUACUGACGCUGAUGUGCGAAAGCGUGGGGAGCAAACAGG
RNAcentral lists this ribosomal RNA (253 nucleotides) under uncultured bacterium. RNAcentral's name for it is "partial 16S ribosomal RNA". It matches the Rfam family "Bacterial small subunit ribosomal RNA", at positions 524 to 776 of the family's 1533-position model. The record is from RNAcentral.